AUCAUAAACUAAGUAACAAAAGUUUUUUUUUUUUAAAUAAACAAAAGAAAAGAUUUGUUUGAGAAUUGAAAGAAAAACCCUAGUCCCUUAUUUCCCUCCAAUUCCCAGCCCAGCCGUCUUCUCAGUUGUCCCUCAUUCUCUCUCUCUGACUCUCGGCUUUGCUCAGCAACGCCGUUCUCACGUCGGUCUUCAACAUCACCUUAUCACCGACGGCGUAAAAUCUCGUCACUAACGCAAAAACUCAAGGUUUUCCAAUAAGUUUUUGGUGUUUUCCGACCAGUAUAUGACAGGUGCUUGCGGGAUCCAACUAUUCAAACAAUUGAAGAAUAAUAUGAGGAAGAAAAUAGCAUAACACUAACAAAGACUGAGGCAAUUGAAAAAUGAAAUGACACUAUUCAAACUAUUAGAUAUCUUUUUUUUUUCUCUCUUGUAGUUUCCAAUUUCUUUUUAUUGUAACAAUUGUGAACAACCAACGAGACAUGUUAGUUGAUUAAGGUGUUUAUAUAAAUGACAAUUAUUUAUUUAUCUA
This is a long non-coding RNA of Beta vulgaris subsp. vulgaris (sugar beet), 529 nucleotides long. RefSeq lists it as uncharacterized. The transcript is spliced from 2 exons. Lineage: Eukaryota; Viridiplantae; Streptophyta; Magnoliopsida; Caryophyllales; Amaranthaceae. The record is from RefSeq and is a predicted model, not a curated record.